AUUGAACGCUGGCGGCAGGCCUAACACACGCAAGUCGAGCGGAUGAAGGGAGCUUGCUCCUGGAUUCAGCGGCGGACGGGUGAGUAAUGCCUAGGAAUCUGCCUGGUAGUGGGGGAUAACGUCCGGAAACGGGCGCUAAUACCGCAUACGUCCUGAGGGAGAAAGUGGGGGAUCUUCGGACCUCACGCUAUCAGAUGAGCCUAGGUCGGAUUAGCUAGUUGGUGGGGUAAAGGCCUACCAAGGCGACGAUCCGUAACUGGUCUGAGAGGAUGAUCAGUCACACUGGAACCGAGACACGGUCCAGACUCCUACGGGAGGCAGCAGUGGGGAAUAUUGGACAAUGGGCGAAAGCCUGAUCCAGCCAUGCCGCGUGUGUGAAGAAGGUCUUCGGAUUGUAAAGCACUUUAAGUUGGGAGGAAGGGCAGUAAGUUAAUACCUUGCUGUUUUGACGUUACCAACAGAAUAAGCACCGGCUAACUUCGUG
RNAcentral lists this ribosomal RNA (484 nucleotides) under uncultured bacterium. RNAcentral describes it as "partial 16S ribosomal RNA". It matches the Rfam family "Bacterial small subunit ribosomal RNA", at positions 30 to 507 of the family's 1533-position model. The record is from RNAcentral.